CGCAUCUGUGCAUGCAGCAUAUCAAUAAGCGGAGGAAAAGAAACUAACAAGGAUUCCCUUAGUAACGGCGAGUGAAGCGGGAAGAGCUCAAAUUUGAAAUCUUCAAGGUUUUACCUUGACGAAUUGUAGUUUAAAGAAGUGUUUUCUGUUGAAGUUUUGGUAAAAGUUCUUUGGAAUAGGACAUCAUAGAGGGUGAGAAUCCCGUAUUUGUACCAUUAUUUUCAGCUGUGUGAUACACUUUCAAAGAGUCGGAUUGUUUGGGAAUGCAGUCUAAAAUGGGUGGUAAAUUUCAUCUAAAGCUAAAUAUUGGCGAGAGACCGAUAGCGAACAAGUACCGUGAGGGAAAGAUGAAAAGAACUUUGAAAAGAGAGUUAAACAGUACGUGAAAUUGUCAAAAGGGAAGCGUUUGACACCAGUGUUGUUUUCUCGAAAAUCAAUUAAAAAAAGUUGGAUUCUGUGUUGUAUUGACCUUAACAGCUUGCUUCACUCUUUUCCAGCUUUUUUUAAUGCACUUUUCGUUUAACAAGUCAACAUCAGUUUCUUUUGUUGUAAAAGGGUCAUUGGAAGGUGGCUUUCUUUUCGGAGAAAGUGUUUAUAGCCUUUGACUCCUGCAAUCGGAGAGACUGAGGUCUGCAGCGUAGACCCUUCGGGGUUAGAUACAUUUGUGCUAAGCUACAGCUUUUCAUAGACAACUUGUUGACUAUGUUUAGUCUUGUGGCUUACCCGCUUAUGCUAUUUUACCUACGCUUAGGAUGUUGACGCGCGUGUGUGCGUG
This 775-nucleotide ribosomal RNA is filed under the name uncultured Neocallimastigales. Its description in RNAcentral is "partial large subunit ribosomal RNA". It matches the Rfam family "Eukaryotic large subunit ribosomal RNA", at positions 26 to 639 of the family's 3401-position model. Lineage: Eukaryota; Fungi; Neocallimastigomycota; Neocallimastigomycetes; Neocallimastigales. The record is from RNAcentral.